AAUAACAUAGAAUUUGGAGAAAGAAGUGUGUUACAUAACAAAUAACAUGGAAUUUAAAGAAAAGUCCAGCAGAUGAAAGAGAGAUGCGGUGGAAGUUUCGAUAAAAUGGAGAAAUAUCCAGAAAUUCAGCAGAUGAGAAGUAAGAUGCGAGAGGGAGAUGAUACAAAUGAAUUUAAGAUUCGGCCAUUGAAGGGGCUAAGCCACCCUUCUGGAAAUUUGCAGAUGCAACGCUUCCAGGAAGAUAGAAGAGAGAGAAUCCACUCAAUCAGAAAAAGAGAGAAUCAAGAUGGAAGAUUAGAUCUGAUUGGAGUUGUGGGAGAGAUAACGGUUGUGGUUUGAUGGUAGUUGACUAGUGACGGUUGUGGUCUGAUUGAUGUUGCGGAUGGUGGUGGAAAGUGAAUGGGUUUAAGAUAGAUGAUGUUGUUUACGAAGAAGAAAAGCUUAGGAAAGUUGUCUUCACAAUGAAAGGCUAAAAUCGUCAAAUUGGGUAUAAAAAAAGUUUGCAUGCCGAUACUGUUAGUCCAAAGUUACUUUCUUAAUUUUUUUACAGUCAAAGGUUAGUUUGUAUAUACACUCAAUAAAAAAAGAUAAAAUAAUGUUUUUUUAACAAUAACUUAGUAAUAUUUUUUAAUCAUUUAUAAUUUUUUAUGUGAAUAUAUGUUUCUUUUCAAAGAUUUAUGAAGGACUACUAAUUCGAAAACACUGAUUCCAGGUGUAGUCCCUCUCUCUUGACU
RNAcentral lists this small RNA (734 nucleotides) under Arabidopsis thaliana (thale cress). RNAcentral describes it as "ATSL170010". The record is from RNAcentral. Lineage: Eukaryota; Viridiplantae; Streptophyta; Magnoliopsida; Brassicales; Brassicaceae.